CAGCCAAUCAAUUAAUCUGCAUAUCUGAAUGUGUAUCUGCAGAGAUUUAGAAAAAGCUGGAAACAGUAAGUCCAUGUUAUGAGCCUUAAAGACAGCUCAGGUCAUCCCUGAGAAUGAUUACACUA
Small nucleolar RNA from Nannospalax galili (Upper Galilee mountains blind mole rat), 125 nucleotides. NCBI's taxonomy places the organism in Eukaryota, Metazoa, Chordata, Mammalia, Rodentia, Spalacidae. The record is from Ensembl.